Small nucleolar RNA from Hibiscus syriacus, 107 nucleotides. Lineage: Eukaryota; Viridiplantae; Streptophyta; Magnoliopsida; Malvales; Malvaceae. The record is from RefSeq and is a predicted model, not a curated record.
AAUUUGUGCAUUGGGCAUUUUUGCAACAAUUCCUUAAAAAGUUCCCAAGCCUCAUGCAAACUUUCAUCCACUAACUUCAAGAAGGAAGUGAGGUCAUUUCGAAGUUU